AAUUUUAACAAGGUAGAACUAAAACUGUUAAUAAAUAGCCAUUUUGAGGUAUAAUAUCACUGCAUUCGGUCGUGAAUUUUUCUUUAAAAAUGAAGGUUAUCACAUCGAUGUUCUGUGCAAUAGUGAUAGUCGGUAUGGCUGAGAGUGAUACUUUUAGCUGGGGUAAACGCCAGAAUAAUAAUCAAAAACUACACGUUCUCAAGCUUAAAAAAGGACCGUUGGAUCAACCGGAGAAUAUUACCCUCGUUUUCAACUAUGCCGUCAAUCCGAUGCGAAACGAGCAAAUGACUUGUGUCGAGAUAAAAUACGAUGGAAAAUAUGGCGCCGUUGUCAAGCCAGGAAACUCGGAUUUUAAGCGAUCAUUCAAAGUUUCAGUUUCCCCGCUUUCUCCAGUCAGAGAAUUUGAGGGUGAAGCGACUAUUUACGGGUUUGAUAGCGCUUGGUUUUGAGGAGCUGUAAAACCAUUCAAAUAUCAAAUCUCUUUCCUCAAUUAUUUAAAACUAAAUCAUCGAAUACAUCCGAUCUAAUCAAUCAAAAUUCCUCAUUCACUGAUAUAGUAAAAAAAACUUCUCAAUUUACCAUUGAAUUAAGUGUAAUCUAAUCAAACCGUAACACUCUCGACAAAAAAAAAGCAACCUGCCCUCGAUUACCGUUAAUGGAAGACCAAUUAGUUGAGGCCAAGUUUUGCGGGAAACGAUCGCAGAUCUAAAGUGUAACAUAGGAAUUGGCAAACGAAAAUCCUCGGAUUUUCCAAUGCACGUUUUACAAAUUGGCAAAGGACCUGUGGAGGAUCCCGAGGAAAUGGCACUAAUAUUUGACUACGAAGUAGGGCCGGACACAAACGACGAGCUAACAUAUAUCCAAUUUGAAGCUUCAGAACCGAGUUGUGGUAUCUAUGAAUUGAAAAAAUUGGACCCGAGAAAAGAUUUCAAAAUUGCUAUUUUGUCAGCGUAUCCGGUGAACAAGUUUACAGUGUCGGCCACCAUUUAUGGCAUUCGAUGGGCGAUUCCAAAUUAAAACUAUUUGAUUUUUGAAGGCAUUAGAUGCACGGAUUAUUUAAAAUAAAAUUCAAUCAAUCAUUUAAAAAAAGGUUAUUAUUAUAUUGUA
Molecule: long non-coding RNA, 1107 nt
Organism: Uranotaenia lowii
Lineage: Eukaryota; Metazoa; Arthropoda; Insecta; Diptera; Culicidae
Exons: 5
Source: RefSeq, a predicted model, not a curated record